UAUCGUUGGUUUUUAUUUUGACAUUAUUAUUUUUCAUUUUCUUUUCAAAACCGGUGCCAGAAGUGCAUAAUUCGCUAAAAAGUAUUUCAAACUAUUUAACAUAUUGGUACUAUGUUUAUACUCUCUACCGCAGCUACUGAAUGAUGUCAUAGCAAUGACGUCACACUCAAGCCAAUCAGCCUUGAGGAGGAUAGACUCGUCGGACUGUAGCGGUUGUAAACAACUUGUCGCCCCGUGUGUCUGCCCGUGGCGCUAGUUAUCUGUCGGAGUUACCACUGACAAUGCCCAAAACAAGAACAACAAAGGCCCAAAGGUGGCUGUUUGGUAGUGCACAAAGCUGCUGGUGGUGGUGGAUGUCUCUGCUCUGACGCGCGGCGUGCGCCUGCUCAGUGUGGAGGUGCCGCUAACAGCGGUGCCAGCCGGAGCGGCUGCCUCGCCGGCGGCCGACAUUGAGCGCGGCACGUGUCAGCCGCCGUUCGGGCCGCUGCAGCUGCUCCAGUCGGCGGCGCAGCUGUCCGUCUCCGUGUCACUGGCCGUGCCGCUGGACCUGCUGCCGCGGCCGGCGCCGGCGCGCUGCGCCUAUGGCCGACUGCUGGCCGUGGUCUCGCAGCGCGGCCUGCAGCGCAGCGGCGUGCUGCAGCUCAUCCAACAGCUCAACGAGCCGCCCAGCCCGGCGGCGGCCGAGGGCACCGCGCCGCGCCGGCCGGGCGACGUCAGCACACCUGGCAUCAGCGGCUUCUGCCUGGCCGACCGUCAGCUGCACCUGCUGUUCGCCGAGGGGCGCGCCGACGCCGAGCUGGAACAGACGGCGGCCGCGCCGCGACGCUCGACUCUGCCACCAAUCGGGCCUGCUGUUUAGGGAGCGCCUGUACCCGCGCCAACCGGCCGCGUUCCGCGUGCUCGAGGACCGCCCGCUACGCGCCCAGCUGCUCGACACCCGCCUCUACACGUCACAGAAACAGGAGCCGGCGCGCGCCGUCCGCGCCAUCAGAGAGUGCUUCCGCACGCAGUGGCUGUCGGAAAAUGAACCUGCUUCCCAACGAGGCCGGCCUGCAACAACUGCUGGCCGGCUGUUGGCCGAAAAAAAAAACGCCUUCAACCGGAUGUCAGUUGUCAAAUCUAUUAAUGCAUUCACUAGGAUGGGCUUACGUAAAGCUGUAGAAUUGCAAAUAUAUAAUGGCACUGUUUUUGAUCCGUUCGGUA
RNAcentral lists this long non-coding RNA (1203 nucleotides) under Amphibalanus amphitrite. RNAcentral's name for it is "uncharacterized LOC122379002". Lineage: Eukaryota; Metazoa; Arthropoda; Thecostraca; Balanomorpha; Balanidae. The record is from RNAcentral.